RNAcentral lists this ribosomal RNA (497 nucleotides) under uncultured bacterium. Its description in RNAcentral is "partial 16S ribosomal RNA". It matches the Rfam family "Bacterial small subunit ribosomal RNA", at positions 28 to 507 of the family's 1533-position model. The record is from RNAcentral.
GACGAACGCUGGCGGCGUGCCUAAUACAUGCAAGUAGAACGCUGAAGCGAGGAGCUUGCUCUUCUUGGAUGAGUUGCGAACGGGUGAGUAACGCGUAGGUCACCUGCCUUGUAGCGGGGGAUAACUAUUGGAAACGAUAGCUAAUACCGCAUAACAAUGGAUGACCCAUGUCAUUUAUUUGAAAGGGGCAAAUGCUCCACUACAAGAUGGACCUGCGUUGUAUUAGCUAGUAGGUGAGGUAACGGCUCACCUAGGCGACGAUACAUAGCCGACCUGAGAGGGUGAUCGGCCACACUGGGAGUGAGACACGGCCCAGACUCCCACGGGAGGCAGCAGUAGGGAAUCGGCGGCAAUGGGGGCAACCCUGAGCGAGCAACGCCGCGUGAGGGAAGAAGGUUGUCGGAUCGUAAAGCUCUGUUGUAAGUCAAGAACGAGUGUGAGAGUGGAAAGUUCACACUGUGACGGUAGCUGACCAGAAAGGGACGGCUAACUACGUG